UGGGGGAUAUUGCACAAUGGGCGAAAGCCUGAUGCAGCGACGCCGCGUGGGGGAUGAAGGCCUUCGGGUUGUAGACUUCUUUUGCUCUGAACAAGGCAUGCUUUUGGGGUGUGUUGAGUGUAGGGGUUGAUUAGCGCCGGCUAACUACGUGCCAGCAGCCGCGGUAAUACGUAGGGCGCGAGCGUUGUCCGGAAUUAUUGGGCGUAAAGGGCUUGUAGGUGGCUGGUUGCGUCUGUCGUGAAAGCUCAUGGCUUAACUGUGGGUUUGCGGUGGGUACGGGCUGGCUUGAGUGCAGUAGGGGAGGCUGGAAUUCCUGGUGUAGCGGUGGAAUGCGCAGAUAUCAGGAGGAAUACCGGUGGCGAAGGCGGGUCUCUGGGCUGUUACUGACGCUGAGGAGCGAAAGCGUGGGGAGCGAACAGG
Molecule: ribosomal RNA, 420 nt
Filed under: Fusobacteriota bacterium
Lineage: Bacteria; Fusobacteriati; Fusobacteriota
Description: Fusobacteria bacterium partial 16S ribosomal RNA
Rfam family: Bacterial small subunit ribosomal RNA
Source: RNAcentral